Unclassified non-coding RNA from Acanthaster planci (crown-of-thorns starfish), 4492 nucleotides. The record is from RefSeq and is a predicted model, not a curated record. NCBI's taxonomy places the organism in Eukaryota, Metazoa, Echinodermata, Asteroidea, Valvatida, Acanthasteridae.
GGGGUCCCAUCGGCCCUAUAUCGUGCACGGUAUCAAAUGGCUUAGGUUCUCGAGAUUCUACCAUCGACAACUGCACUGCACAUAGAGAAAGCUACAGAGGCGAGCGACCGAUGCAUGAGUACCCUAUACGCCUUGCGCAAUCAUACUUAUGUGAAGCAUUACAAACUUGAGUUCAAAGUUCCUGGUUUUUUUGUGUUGAUUCAUUUCCUUGUUGUUUCCAACAAAGCUGUUCCCUGAAUUAAUUCGUUCAUCAGUUUUCAUUGAUACGUGGAAACCGUGCACAGGUACUUCUUAGAGUAUGAGCAACAUGGGCAUAAUAUGUCAGUUCGUGCUGCGGAGUUACUUCGCAUUUGCUGUACUGUCACAGGCUUCGUUUGCUGCCAUCAAUGACCUUGCGGACACAACGGUGGUGCGGGGCAGAGAUACAACUCUGUUUUGUAGUAACAGUCAACACACGUCAGGCUUUGCCCAGUGGAGUGACAUUACAGACCUGAGCAAUCACAUACCAUUUGCUUCUCGUUCGAUUGGUGUGUUGGAAGAUCCUCCUACCUUUUCAAAGUACAUAAAUUUCGACUUGGACACAACAGUGAGUACACGAUUGGAUUAAAAAGAUAAGCAGCGCUGAACUUGAAGAUGAAGGGACGUACGCGUGCACCUUGUCCCCAGACACAGCGACGGCCACACUGACUGUGGAAAUUGAAGGAGCUGUACCAACCAUCACAAUUGAUGGUAAUUCAUCAAAGAAUCCCAUCGUCCUGAGAGCCUCUGAGGAAAGCGCGCUGAGAUGCACGGCCUGGGGUUUCAGACCAGCUGUCAGUCUGGAAUGGUACAGAAACAAUGUUCAGAUGACAACAGGUGUUGCUCAAGAUGCAGCUUCCCCUAAUGGAGAUGGUACAUUUAAUACAUCGGGCACACUGACACUCACUCCAACAAGACAAGAUAAUGAAGCCAUCCUAGAAUGCCGAACAACGGGACAGGUGGCUGCCCCAGUCAAGACAGCAUCGCUCAUUCUCAAUGUACAAUAUGUACCAGUCGUGUCAGUUGGGUAUACCAAUGGAGUGAUAACUUGCUCAUCGGAUGCCAACCCAAUGGCUAUCAAUCAUAAGAUCAUCCUGAAUGGCACUAACGUAGUGAAAGAAUUCACGACCAGUCAAGGAUCUCAUCCAUACACUCCAGCAGAUGGCUUUACUGUCAUCAGUUGCAGUGUGGCAAGCACAGCGGGGACGGGAACAGCAAGCUUUCCUGAAGCAGUGUGUCCAGGAUACGUGGAACCGCAACCCAUGACAACAGAUCCUGCGUAAUUCCAAUCGCCGAUGGAGGCUGCCGGACAGACUACAUAUCAAUUGAGACUGUUAGUUAAUUACUUCUCGGGAGUCAGAUGGGUUGAACUUAAAGGUAGCUCAAAUGGAGGGGUCUCAUGUUCUUGUCACAAUUUUACUCCAUGGCAAAGUCAUUCAAUCUCUUUUAUCUUUAAUGUAAAAAAGAGACGCAAUGGUUUAGGAUUUGAUGAGGUAUUCCAGCCUUUGACAAGACCAAGCCCCCUAAAAAUGGCAGUGACCAUGGUGUUUGGCCCCCGAUCCCCACCUGAAAUACAUGCAAGAAAAUGACAAUCGCCCUUACUCAAGGUCAUAUUUAUGUCAAUGACUGUAAUGUGACCAGCUUGGAUGUGAUUUUCAAACAAAAAUGGAAAGGCCACUCGCCCGGAUGUGAUUUUGGUAAGGAUUAUCAAACAUAACAUCCACACCACCGAAUUACGUCCGAGCCAGAAAUCACAUCCAGGAAAGUCCAAAAUCACAUCGUGAAUUCGACUUUAACAACAUACUCCAGAAUGUGAUUUCUGACUCGGAUGUGAUUUUGAUGACUACCAACAUCACAUUUAAGUUCAAUAUCACAUUCACCCAAGACACUUUUCCCUUCUCAUGGAGAAAUCACAUCCAGGCCGGUCAUAAUGAGUAACCCCUCUUCCAUCCCCAUUUUUUGGACCUCUGUAAAUAGGAAAGGAAAAAUUGGACGACCAAACAGGAGAGAGGAAAGGAUUUUGUUCAAGCAUGUUUGAUAUUUUUAGGGUGCCACCGUAUUUAGGUAAACAUGUUUGUUUUGAAGGCUCAAGUCUGAGAGGAUCAAAUAGAAAUUGAUAAAAGAUACAAAAAGAAAGAUUCUUUGUCUUCGUAGUCUACGGCUUUCCUAGUAUUUCUGUAUAUUUUCAAGGUGUGUUUUUUCAAGAUGUAUUUCUGUAUAGAAGAAAAGUUCCAGAGACUGGAAAACCUUUCAGGUUGAAAAAAGGUACACUUAAAAAUUACUGUUGUUGAUUGCAUUUAUCCUAUCCCACUAAAAAGUAGGCACGUGAAGUAUUCAGAAAAAGCUAGACUUUAUUGGAAGACUGAAGUAUAAUUGCCUACUUCAAACUACGGACAUGAUUGAUCUGCUGAUGAAUAAAACACUCGUUGGUUGUGACGAGCCCCCUUCUCCUACUUACACAAUAGCUUUGGUAUGAAGACGGAAAGAUUCAGUGCAAAUAAUCCUCUGACCUGACCCUAAGUUUGCUCCGUUGAACAUGUAAAUGUACAAUUCAACGAUCCAUUCCUGGUUGUACAACAGGAAGUAACACUAUAAGGAAGAGACAUAUUCAAAAACAGCAAAGCAUUCGUAUCUCUUAGCGCAGCUGCAGAUUCUUUAAUUUAGAAACGCUGUCUGACCGUAUGGAGGAAACAUGCGUGCAACGUUUUCCUGAAAUAGCCCUUCCUUCUCACAAACCGAAUUUUCUCCUUCCCAGACAAAAAGAAAGAGGAUACCGCUCAUGAAAGCCACAGCAGAUGAACCUAAAUGGGUGUAAAACAAAUAGGUGUAAGAACAACUUUAUUUCAUGCCGUUUGUAUAGCCUGCUGUAAUUGAAUUCAUUUUCCUCCUCGCUUUUGUACCUAUCCUUAGCUAUUCAGACACUAUGUUUGUAUUUCUUAGAACUUAAAACUCAGACUCAUCGUAAUGGAUUCUACUUGUGCUUUUGAUUUUUUUUUAUAAAUUGAUUACUAUUUUUGGGCUUUUACUUGUGACCUGUACCUCACUUGUAAUAUAUUUAUAGAGCAUAGUAUGACUGAAGCCAUUUAUUAAUCCUGGUGAUUUUUGUAUCUAGUACUUGCAUAUUUGUAAACAAUCCAACUGUAUCCAGGUUUCUUACAGUGUAAUUUCCUUGUUCUGUAGUUGCAAAUAAAUAAAUUAAUAAUUUAUUACCACUGAAAUUGGCCACCUUUUGAAUUCUCUUUCGAUUCACGAUUUGGAGAGGUCACUACGGAUUGCAUUCCAUUGUCAUUGUUUGUUUAAUAAUUGCACUGCAAACGGAUAAAAAAUACAAAGGCGGCGAGCAGUGCAUGAAGAUCUGUGUUGCUACAAACCUGAUGUAAACACACUUCUCAGAAAUAAAAUGAACUCGAGUUCAAAGUUCAUGGCGGGUUUUCGUGGAUUUACUUCCUCGUAUUUUUGACACAGCUCUUUCCCCCUUAAUUCGCUCAGUUUUUGGUUGAUUAUCGGAUACUGUGAGCAGCUGCUUCUAAUCCAAGUAUAGGAUGCAACGGUACAUUCCAGUUUAUUGUGCGGUGUGGCUUUGCAAUGGCGGUACUUUCUUGGGCUUCCUUUGCUGCUAUCAAUGACCUUGUAGACACAACGGUGGUGCGGGGCAGAGAUACAACUAUGCUUUGUAGUAACAGUCAACACACGUCAGGCUUUGCCCAGUGGAGUGACAUUACAGACCCAAGCAAUCCAGUGCCAUUUGCCUCUCGUUCAGGUGGAGUGUUGAAAGAUCCUCCUACCUAUUCAAAGUAUGUAAAUUUUGACUUAGACACAACAUUGAGUACACAAUUGGAUCUCAAGAUAAGCAGCGCUGAGCUUGAAGAUGAAGGGACGUAUUCAUGCACCUUAAAUCCAGACACAGUAUCGGCCACACUGACUGUAGAAAGAGCAGAGCCAACAAUUACAAUUGACGGUGAUUCAUCAGGAAAUCCCAUCAUCCUGAGAGCGUUGGAGCCAAGCGUGCUGAGAUGCACAGCCAGGGGCUUCAGACCUGCUGUCAAUUUGGAGUGGUACAAGAACAGUGCCCAGAUAUCAACGGGCGUCAGUCCAGAGGCACCUACUCCUAAUGGAGACGCAUUUGACACAUCGGGCACACUGACAUUUACGCCAACUAGGCAAGACAAUGAAGCCAUCCUAGAAUGCCGAACAACGGGACAGGUGGUCGCCCCAGCAAAAACAGCAUCGCUCACUCUCAAUAUGUACCAGUCGUGUCAGUUGGGUAUGCCAAUGAAGUGAUAACUUGCUCAUCGGAUGCCAACCCACUGGCAACCAAUCAUAAGAUCAUCCUGAACGGUACUAACAUUGUGAAGGAAUUCACGACCAGCCAGGGAUCUCAUCCAUUCACUCCAGUAGAUGGCUGCACGGUCAUUAGUUGCAAUGCCACGAACACAGUGGGAACGGGAACGGCAACUUUUCCUGAAGAAAUAUG